GAUGAACGCUGGCGGCGUGCCUAAUACAUGCAAGUCGAGCGAACGGACGAGAAGCUUGCUUCUCUGAUGUUAGCGGCGGACGGGUGAGUAACACGUGGAUAACCUACCUAUAAGACUGGGAUAACUUCGGGAAACCGUAGCUAAUACCGGAUAAUAUUUUGAACCGCAUGGUUCAAAAGUGAAAGACGGUCUUGCUGUCACUUAUAGAUGGAUCCGCGCUGCAUUAGCUAGUUGGUAAGGUAACGGCUUACCAAGGCAACGAUGCAUAGCCGACCUGAGAGGGUGAUCGGCCACACUGGAACUGAGACACGGUCCAGACUCCUACGGGAGGCAGCAGUAGGGAAUCUUCCGCAAUGGGCGAAAGCCUGACGGAGCAACGCCGCGUGAGUGAUGAAGGUCUUCGGAUCGUAAAACUCUGUUAUUAGGGAAGAACAUAUGUGUAAGUAACUGUGCACAUCUUGACGGUACCUAAUCAGAAAGCCACGGCUAACUACGUGCCAGCAGCCGCGGUAAUACGUAGGUGGCAAGCGUUAUCCGGAAUUAUUGGGCGUAAAGCGCGCGUAGGCGGUUUUUUAAGUCUGAUGUGAAAGCCCACGGCUCAACCGUGGAGGGUCAUUGGAAACUGGAAAACUUGAGUGCAGAAGAGGAAAGUGGAAUUCCAUGCGUAGCGGUGAAAUGCGCAGAGAUAUGGAGGAACACCAGUGGCGAAGGCGACUUUCUGGUCUGUAACUGACGCUGAUGUGCGAAAGCGUGGGGAUCAAACAGGAUUAGAUACCCUGGUAGUCCACGCCGUAAACGAUGAGUGCUAAGUGUUAGGGGGUUUCCGCCCCUUAGUGCUGCAGCUAACGCAUUAAGCACUCCGCCUGGGGAGUACGACCGCAAGGUUGAAACUCAAAGGAAUUGACGGGGACCCGCACAAGCGGUGGAGCAUGUGGUUUAAUUCGAAGCAACGCGAAGAACCUUACCAAAUCUUGACAUCCUUUGACAACUCUAGAGAUAGAGCCUUCCCCUUCGGGGGACAAAGUGACAGGUGGUGCAUGGUUGUCGUCAGCUCGUGUCGUGAGAUGUUGGGUUAAGUCCCGCAACGAGCGCAACCCUUAAGCUUAGUUGCCAUCAUUAAGUUGGGCACUCUAAGUUGACUGCCGGUGACAAACCGGAGGAAGGUGGGGAUGACGUCAAAUCAUCAUGCCCCUUAUGAUUUGGGCUACACACGUGCUACAAUGGACAAUACAAAGGGCAGCGAAACCGCGAGGUCAAGCAAAUCCCAUAAAGUUGUUCUCAGUUCGGAUUGUAGUCUGCAACUCGACUACAUGAAGCUGGAAUCGCUAGUAAUCGUAGAUCAGCAUGCUACGGUGAAUACGUUCCCGGGUCU
RNAcentral lists this ribosomal RNA (1372 nucleotides) under uncultured bacterium. Its description in RNAcentral is "bacterial SSU rRNA". It matches the Rfam family "Bacterial small subunit ribosomal RNA", at positions 28 to 1381 of the family's 1533-position model. The record is from RNAcentral.